UACGGAAGGCAGCAGUGGGGAAUAUUGCACAAUGGGCGCAAGCCUGAUGCAGCCAUGCCGCGUGUAUGAAGAAGGCCUUCGGGUUGUAAAGUACUUUUCAGUCGUGAGGAAGGUGUUAAGGUUAAUAACCUUAGCAAUUGACGUUAGCGACAGAAGAAGCACCGGCUAACUCCGUGCCAGCAGCCGCGGUAAUACGGAGGGUGCGAGCGUUAAUCGGAAUUACUGGGCGUAAAGGGCACGCAGGCGGUUAAUUAAGUUGGAUGUGAAAUCCCCGGGCUUAACCUGGGAAUGGCAUUCAAGACUGGUUAGCUAGAGUCUUGUAGAGGGGGUAGAAUUCCAUGUGUAGCGGUGAAAUGCGUAGAGAUGUGGAGGAAUACCGGUGGCGAAGGCGGCCCCUGGACAAAGGCUGACGCUCAUGUGCGAAAGCGUGGGGAGCGAAA
RNAcentral lists this ribosomal RNA (440 nucleotides) under uncultured bacterium. RNAcentral describes it as "bacterial SSU rRNA". It matches the Rfam family "Bacterial small subunit ribosomal RNA", at positions 340 to 773 of the family's 1533-position model. The record is from RNAcentral.